GGGGAUAUAGCUCAGUUGGUAGAGUACUUGCCUUGCAUGCACAAGGCCCUGGGUUCAAUCCCCAGAACCACA
This 72-nucleotide transfer RNA is filed under the name Ictidomys tridecemlineatus (thirteen-lined ground squirrel). RNAcentral's name for it is "Spermophilus tridecemlineatus (thirteen-lined ground squirrel) tRNA". It matches the Rfam family "tRNA". From Rfam's summary of the family: Transfer RNA (tRNA) molecules are approximately 80 nucleotides in length. The record is from Rfam by way of RNAcentral. Lineage: Eukaryota; Metazoa; Chordata; Mammalia; Rodentia; Sciuridae.